CACAGAAUUAGGAAGUAACAACAGGAGCACAGAGCUGCUUUCCUGCCUGAAAACUCCCAUAAAAAGGAUGCGUCUUCAUAAAAAUGCAGCACAUCAGUUAAUGGAUCUUACGUAUCUUUGUUCCACCCUUUAAAAAGGAAAUCCUGAGUUACUGGGCUAAGCAGUUCAACUCCAAGAGGCACAAAGACCUAAAAGUUAAAUAUUUGACAAGAAAAACUAACCUUCACGGCCAUAUAACUUUUAAUGAAAACAAUCAUUCAAUCAAAAUUUCUUUGCACAAAUGCAGAGGAAACAGAUGGAACGAGCGCAAAACAGGUGCACCUACAGCUGCAAGUUCUUGCACAGCUGAGAGAUGUGAUGCUAUAUUGCAUCAGUAUUUGGAAAGGAAUUCAAAGAAUUUAGAUCAUAUCAGCAUAAAAACUGGCAAAUACUCAUUCCCUGUUCAUUUAUUUUUCACAUGCAUUCAAUAAAAAGUUGCAGAAAACCAGAUUCUUAUUUCUGUAUCACAAUACAUUGGGGCAAGACCCCAGGGUAAGGGUAGGAAAUAUGCCUUAACAGUGAAAAGUUAUCAUACAUAGCUAUACAAAACAUAGUUGUGGAAGUAACUCAGAAUCGUUGCAAAAGCACAUAGACAUCUCAGAAAAAACUGUUUGCCCUUCCAUAUCCUCUAUCUACAUUUCUUUUAGAGAGAACAGUAGUAUACUGAAAUAGAAUAGUUUUGUGCAUUUUAUUAAAAAGAAAAUUUCCAGCUGUCCCAAUGCAUCUCCACACAUGGAAACCCAAUUAAAAUCAUCUGGCUUCAUUUUCCUCCUAUUGACAUAAGUUUUAAGCACAUGAUUAUUCAUUCUAAUUUAAGAAUCGUUAUUCUUAAAUAAGAAUCAUUAUUAAUUUCUAAUUUAAGUCAUGAUGAUAAAAAUCCCAUAAGACCUGACCCUGUUAAUGCUGUAAGCCAAACUCUUACCUGCAAUAUACAACUAGUCCCAUUACUUGCAUUUAAGCAUUUGAAAAAUUCCAU
This 1015-nucleotide long non-coding RNA is filed under the name Struthio camelus australis. RNAcentral's name for it is "lncRNA (ENSSCUG00000014696.1)". Lineage: Eukaryota; Metazoa; Chordata; Aves; Struthioniformes; Struthionidae. The record is from RNAcentral.